AAAUUGAAGAGUUUGAUCAUGGCUCAGAUUGAACGCUGGCGGCAGGCCUAACACAUGCAAGUCGAGCGGUAGCACAGGAGAGCUUGCUCUCUGGGUGACGAGCGGCGGACGGGUGAGUAAUGUCUGGGAAACUGCCUGAUGGAGGGGGAUAACUACUGGAAACGGUAGCUAAUACCGCAUAACGU
Molecule: ribosomal RNA, 185 nt
Filed under: Enterobacter pseudoroggenkampii
Lineage: Bacteria; Pseudomonadati; Pseudomonadota; Gammaproteobacteria; Enterobacterales; Enterobacteriaceae
Description: partial 16S ribosomal RNA
Rfam family: Bacterial small subunit ribosomal RNA
Source: RNAcentral